UGAAUGGAAUGACAAUCAUGGUUUGUUUUUGUCAGGAUUCUAAUGAGGCUCUCAACCAGAGAAUAAUGGCCCUCAACUGAGAAAUUCAACUUUUUACUUAUCUUCUUCACUUGUUCGUUGCCUGCAGUGUGCCCCUUCACUGCAAGCUUGCUCUUGGUCCUCGGUUGCUGGUCACCUGUUGUAAUCAGCGGAGGGCAUGACAGACACAUGGCUGCCUCCAUCAUCCUAAGAUUGAGAAACUGGGCAUACCAUGUCUAUUGCAAAUUAUAGCCUCAAGAAAGCCAUGUAGGCCUCACACCUCAAGGUCAAUGCACCCCCUACCUUGCCCAGAUCAGUACUAACUUUUUUAUGAACCUAUGGUUUAGUGCAUAAAUGCCGUUUCAUUUUCUUGUUAGCAUGGGAGGUCACCGAGAUGGUCUUCAUGCUUUUUUUUUGCAUGUUCAUGCACCAAAUCAUAUAUUUUUUUGCAUGCUCAUUGAAAUUGCUGUUUCUAUUGUUAUAAUUUAUGUUAAGAUCUGGUUUAAUUCUUGCUAUUUUUUGUUGAUAAAAAAUUGCAAUUUAGUAUAUUGAAUUGGACUGCAUGCUCAUCUUUAAGCGUUCACUGAGCAUGGGUUUCCCUGCUGACACCAGUACACAUCUGCUGAAUUAGUAUCCUUUUUACUUUGGUGUAUGGAGGUUGCAAAAGUUUACGAAGUAUAUAUAUAGUAAGAUAAGAUGUACGAUAAAUAAAAUCUAAGAUAAUUAGACUUCAUAUUUCUUUGUACAUGUAAGUUAUCUUUGGUGUGCGAGCUAAUUGAGGAACUCCUCUUUGUUCUCUCUUUACACUUUACUGAUAACACAGAUCAAGUUCGACUAGAUGAUUUAGGUAUCUCUAGGGUUGGGAAUUGUGAUAGAGGCAUUUUUUUUAGUUCAUUACAAUUUUAGAAAAUUCCAAUAGGUGCUGAUGUAUGUAUUCUAGCAAGACAUGUCUUAGUAGUUCAGUUGUAGCCCAGAGGCUUCAUCUCAAGCACCUGCAGUAGGCUACCACCACUUUUUUUUCAAGAUCUUGUGCUUCCUAAUUUCCAUUAUGGCCUCAUUUGAUGGUGUGUGCUUCCUUUGGCUAAGCAAGAUUUUUAUUUAUUCAGAUCUUUUUUCAGUUCACAUGUAUUAGAUCAGGCAACAAAAUUGUUAUCAUGUGGUUACAGGCUUCAGCAAUAUGGGUUGUGGACACAGAUCAGGGAGAGACUUUCUGAAGAAAUCAAAUUUGUGGACUGCAUAGUCAUAAUAUUG
RNAcentral lists this long non-coding RNA (1269 nucleotides) under Sorghum bicolor (sorghum). Its description in RNAcentral is "long non-coding RNA (SBIC_LNC017757)". The record is from RNAcentral. Lineage: Eukaryota; Viridiplantae; Streptophyta; Magnoliopsida; Poales; Poaceae.